RNAcentral lists this ribosomal RNA (341 nucleotides) under uncultured Gemmatimonadota bacterium. Its description in RNAcentral is "bacterial SSU rRNA". It matches the Rfam family "Bacterial small subunit ribosomal RNA", at positions 28 to 351 of the family's 1533-position model. The record is from RNAcentral. Lineage: Bacteria; Pseudomonadati; Gemmatimonadota.
GACGAACGCUGGCGGCGUGCUUAACACAUGCAAGUCGAACGAGGCCGGGGUGCUUGCACCCCGAGUCGAGUGGCGAACGGGUGCGUAACACGUGACCAACCUGUCCUAGGGUGAGGGACAACCUGGGGAAACCCGGGCUAAUACCGCAUGAUGUCCAGACUUCACAUGGAGACUGGAUCAAAGAGGGCCUCUGCUUGCAAGCUCUCGCCAAAGGAGGGGGUCGCGGCGUAUCAGCUAGUUGGUAGGGUAACGGCCUACCAAGGCUACGACGCGUAGUGGGUCUGAGAGGACGACCCGCCACAUUGGGACUGAGAUACGGCCCAGACUCCUACGGGUGGCUG